UUCCGGUUGAUCCUGCCGGAGGUCACUGCUAUCGGUGUUCGACUAAGCCAUGCGAGUCGAAUGUUCUUCGUGAACAUGGCGUACUGCUCAGUAACACGUGGAUAACCUGCCCUUAGGACUGGCAUAACCCCGGGAAACUGGGGAUAAUUCCGGAUAGUUCAUGGUAGUUGGAAUGCUCCAUGAUCGAAAGCUAUUGCGCCUAAGGAUGGGUCUGCGGUCUAUCAGGUAGUAGUGGGUGUAAUGUACCUACUAGCCGACGACGGAUACGGGUUGUGGGAGCAAGAGCCCGGAGAUGGAUUCUGAGACAUGAAUCCAGGCCCUACGGGGCGCAGCAGGCGCGAAAACUUUACAAUGCGGGAAACCGCGAUAAGGGGACACCGAGUGCCAGCAUCUUAUGUUGGCUGUCCGCAUGUAUAAAUCACAUGUGUUAGCAAGGGCCGGGCAAGACCGGUGCCAGCCGCCGCGGUAACACCGGCGGCCCGAGUGGUGGCCACUAUUAUUGGGUCUAAAGGGUCCGUAGCCGGUUUGGUCAGUCUUCCGGGAAAUCUGACGGCUUAACCGUUAGGCUUUCGGGGGAUACUACCAGGCUUGGGACCGGGAGAGGUAAGAGGUACUACGGGGGUAGGAGUGAAAUCUUGUAAUCCUCGUGGGACCACCAGUGGCGAAGGCGUCUUACCAGAACGGGUCCGACGGUGAGGGACGAAAGCUGGGGGCACGAACCGGAUUAGAUACCCGGGUAGUCCCAGCCGUAAACUAUGCUCGCUAGGUGUCAGGACGGUGCGACCGUUUCUGGUGCCGCAGGGAAGCCGUGAAGCGAGCCACCUGGGAAGUACGGUCGCAAGGCUGAAACUUAAAGGAAUUGGCGGGGGAGCACUACAACGGGUGGAGCCUGCGGUUUAAUUGGAGUCAACGCCCGGGAAUC
Molecule: ribosomal RNA, 922 nt
Filed under: uncultured archaeon
Lineage: Archaea
Description: bacterial SSU rRNA
Rfam family: Archaeal small subunit ribosomal RNA
Source: RNAcentral